Molecule: long non-coding RNA, 409 nt
Organism: Hippocampus comes (tiger tail seahorse)
Lineage: Eukaryota; Metazoa; Chordata; Actinopteri; Syngnathiformes; Syngnathidae
Exons: 2
Source: RefSeq, a predicted model, not a curated record
AGAGGUUAGUCUUUCGACUCUCUUCACUGGCCUCUUUUGGCUGGAUCCGUACAACAAGAUUCAAAUUAAAACUUUUAUUUUGGGCAGAAGAAUAAAGGGACAAGAAAAAAACGAUACUCACAAUUGUCAGAUUAUUGUGAUCUCAAAAUAUUUAAAAUAAAAUUAUUUAUAUAUUGUAUUAUUUUCCGUCACUCUAAAUAUCCGACAGCACGGCAAAGCCCCGUACGUUUACCCAGACUUUCGACCUCAGGUAGGCCAAAGAUGAAGACAUUUCCAAAAUAAACACUUGUGCGUCGUUUCAUAUGUCAAAAUGUGCUUGCGGUUCCCAGUGUUGUCUUUUCCGUGGAAACGGGGUCAAAAUGGCUCCUUAAGUGGAAAAGGUUGCCGGACCCUCGCAUAGACCGUAACC